Molecule: ribosomal RNA, 301 nt
Filed under: uncultured bacterium
Lineage: Bacteria
Description: partial 16S ribosomal RNA
Rfam family: Bacterial small subunit ribosomal RNA
Source: RNAcentral
CAGCAGCCGCGGUAAUACGAAAGGGGCUAGCGUUGUUCGGAUUUACUGGGCGUAAAGCGCACGUAGGCGGACUUUUAAGUCAGGGGUGAAAUCCCGGGGCUCAACCCCGGAACUGCCUUUGAUACUGGAAGUCUUGAGUAUGGUAGAGGUGAGUGGAAUUCCGAGUGUAGAGGUGAAAUUCGUAGAUAUUCGGAGGAACACCAGUGGCGAAGGCGGCUCACUGGACCAUUACUGACGCUGAGGUGCGAAAGCGUGGGGAGCAAACAGGAUUAGAUACCCCUGUAGUCCCUGUCUCUUAUAC